This 1430-nucleotide long non-coding RNA is filed under the name Monomorium pharaonis (pharaoh ant). RNAcentral's name for it is "uncharacterized LOC105835296, transcript variant X6". The record is from RNAcentral. Lineage: Eukaryota; Metazoa; Arthropoda; Insecta; Hymenoptera; Formicidae.
UGACGAUCUGAGAAGAAAGCAAGUGUAGCGUGUAGCGAAAAUAUUAGUUUAUAUCUAUGGUGUAGUCGAGCGGAGUUAAGCCCUGUCUUAGUUGGUCUUAGUGCGUGGUUAAUUGAAGUCUUUCGGGCGCGCGAGUGUUUACGGACAUAUUUAAAACCGAACAAAUUUUUAUAUGUGCUUUUUUGGCAAUUGGUAAUGGCAUAAAUUACUCCGGAGUUUGCGUCGCUGUGUGUUUGCUCACUCUACGAUGGGAAACAUAACCUCCAAAUGACAGUUUCCUUAAUGUACUGGACUAUAUAAACAAUUUAUUUCCCAUGGAACAGUCACUGUCAAAUAUCAAUGAAGUGGUGAAUAAUAUAGAAAAUAAAACACUAUUAAUAGGAUAUAUGACAAUUCUGUGCUCGCUGGACAACAAGUAGUCAUCCGAGAAAUUUCAGAUCAUCUGUGCUAUCUGGGCGUUUAUCUACCUACCAAAGUUUGAAUUGCAAGCCUAAUAUAUGAUCAACUGGAACCUGUGGUACCAUGGCGAUCGAAUUAAAGUGAUACUAAUUGUAAGUGAAGACCGUGAAGCUGUUGGCACUUCACUUUCGAUCAUUUGCAUAUGCUAGUGGAAGGAGUAGAUAAUCUAAAAAUAUUAACACAAGAAAACAACAUGGAAAAAUUAUUGUACCAUUGCAAGGAGUGAUGCAAAUGAUUUUAACAGUUAUAUGGACAUGUCACAAGUGAAGCAAUUAUCUGAUCAAGGUUCAUCAGAUUCAGCAUAUGUUGGCCUAGCGGAUUUCAAACAGGCCUUUUCGAGUCAAAAUCCAAAAUAUUUCAACCAGUUAACGGAGGGAUGUUUAGUGUUAUCAGAAUUGCAUCCUAAAGUAAAAUCUUUGAAAAUCUUUCUUAAAAAAGAAAAUAUAUACGCAUUACUACCAGUUUACGGAGCAGAGUUUAUACCAAAAACGGAAAAAAUUGUUGAUUUGUUGUCACAUCGUAACAAAAUGGUUACGUUCAGAAAACACAAGUGAUCAGUAAGCGGUCAAUGAUUAUUGGUCCUACUGUUAGAUCUCUAAAUUUAGACCAAUUAUAUUAGUGAAUUACUUAACUGUUGUGCAACGGUUGUGUUUUCUGAACGUAGCCUAUGUUUGCUUAAUUUAAAAGUUUGUACUUACAAAAUUCGUAUCCAUAGCUUAGUAGACAACAGGAACGAACAGUGUCAACUUUUGAAAAUUAGAUUUUGAUUAAUUAAAAGAAAUUGCGCUACGAGAAUUUAAAUUACAUACCCGUGAAGACUCAAUAAGUAAAACAAUAUUAAAAAAUUGUUUUUCGUUCUCGAUAUAAAGUUUAAUUCACAAAUUGAUAUUAAUAUGUGUACUUUAAUUCUGGAAAAAGAUUUCCAGGUCUCUAUAAAAGAACACAUAUAAAAUUUUAUUAAUGAUGUGCAC